Molecule: microRNA, 22 nt
Filed under: Ornithorhynchus anatinus (platypus)
Lineage: Eukaryota; Metazoa; Chordata; Mammalia; Monotremata; Ornithorhynchidae
Description: oan-miR-1421i-3-3p
Source: miRBase by way of RNAcentral
UGCCGCGAAGUGUACGACCUCC